AUUGAACGCUGGCGGCAUGCUUUACACAUGCAAGUCGAACGGUAACAGGUUAAGCUGACGAGUGGCGAACGGGUGAGUAAUGCAUCGGAACGUGCCCGAUCGUGGGGGAUAACGCAGCGAAAGCUGCGCUAAUACCGCAUACGAUCUGAGGAUGAAAGCGGGGGACCGUAAGGCCUCGCGCGAUCGGAGCGGCCGAUGUCAGAUUAGGUAGUUGGGGGGGUAAAGGCCCACCAAGCCGAGGAUCUGUAGCUGGUCUGAGAGGACGAGCAGCCACACUGGGACUGAGACACGGCCCAGACUCCUACGGGAGGCAGCAGUGGGGAAUUUUGGACAAUGGGCGAAAGCCUGAUCCAGCAAUGCCGCGUGCAGGAAGAAGGCCUUCGGGUUGUAAACUGCUUUUGUACGGAGCGAAAAGGUCCUUUCUAAUACAAGGGGCUCAUGACGGUACCGUAAGAAUAAGCACCGGCUAACUACGUGCCAGCCGCCGCGGUAA
Molecule: ribosomal RNA, 493 nt
Filed under: uncultured bacterium
Lineage: Bacteria
Description: partial 16S ribosomal RNA
Rfam family: Bacterial small subunit ribosomal RNA
Source: RNAcentral